GGGUGAUUAGCUCAGUUGGUAGAGCGCCUCCUUUACACGGAGGAUGUCAGGAGUUCGAGUCUCUUAUCACCCACCA
Molecule: transfer RNA, 76 nt
Filed under: bacterium
Lineage: Bacteria
Description: tRNA-Val
Rfam family: tRNA
About the family: Transfer RNA (tRNA) molecules are approximately 80 nucleotides in length.
Source: RNAcentral